GACGAACGCUGGCGGCGUGCUUAACACAUGCAAGUCGAACGGUUAAGCGCCUUCCUUUUUGGUGGGUGUGGAUGAGUGGCGAACGGGUGAGUAACACGUGAGUAACCUGCCCCCUUCUUCUGGAUAACCGCAUGAAAGUGUGGCUAAUACGGGAUAUUCUGGGUCUGUCGCAUGAUGGGUCUGGGAAAGAUAUUGUUUCGGUGGGGGAUGGGCUCGCGGCCUAUCAGCUUGUUGGUGGGGUGAUGGCCUACCAAGGCGGUGACGGGUAGCCGGCCUGAGAGGGUGGACGGUCACACUGGGACUGAGACACGGCCCAGACUCCUACGGGAGGCAGCAGUGGGGAAUAUUGCACAAUGGGCGCAAGCCUGAUGCAGCGACGCCGCGUGAGGGAUGGAGGCCUUCGGGUUGUGAACCUCUUUCGCCAGUGAAGCAGGCCUGCCUCGUUUGUGGGUGGGUUGACGGUAGCUGGAUAAGAAGCGCCGGCUAACUACGUG
RNAcentral lists this ribosomal RNA (494 nucleotides) under uncultured bacterium. RNAcentral's name for it is "partial 16S ribosomal RNA". It matches the Rfam family "Bacterial small subunit ribosomal RNA", at positions 28 to 507 of the family's 1533-position model. The record is from RNAcentral.